Alnus glutinosa is the source of this 838-nucleotide long non-coding RNA. RefSeq lists it as uncharacterized. The record is from RefSeq and is a predicted model, not a curated record. The transcript has 3 exons. NCBI's taxonomy places the organism in Eukaryota, Viridiplantae, Streptophyta, Magnoliopsida, Fagales, Betulaceae.
UUAGGACAGCAACCUUCCAGAGUGCAAUGGAAGUGACGGACCUAGGCCAUGGGCCUUCUAGAACACCCAUAGACCCCGUCCAGGUAAGUAUGUUCAAAGGUGGCUGGUGUUUUUCUUUAUAUCAUAGCACCUCAGCCUUGUCCUCCUUGCUUCUUUUCCAUGGGGGAUAACAUUCUCGUCAGCCUCGUGAUGUUAAAGCUAAGCAUCAACUCCCGGCGGAGUUGGCGGUCACAAGAAUUUCAGAAUUCCAUCGACGGCCAAGCGCCACCGUCACAGUUUCUUGUUGAAGAAAGCAGUGUUGUGUUGGGUAUACAGAUUCUUCUCCGUCAGUUCCAAUUCCAAUUUUUUGCAGGGUAAGUUGAUUGAAAGAAACAAUAGAUGCUGCCCCUUAAACAGUGUGAAAAGGUGGAUGGACCUGCACUGAAGCGCAUCAAGCAUGUGCUCAUUGUCUUCAUGUACAAAUCCACUGGCAACCAAGUACUAGACUUUUUACGCAACCCGUACGCCAUGGAUAUAGCGGUUUGGAGAAAGAAAGAUGCACCUUGCUGCACUACUACUUGAAUCUUAAUUUGUGGUCGUGUCUCGCCUCCAAAGAUUGGGAGAGCAUCUCUAGUUCUAGAAUGACCACCACGAGUAAUCCACCCAUUACUGAGAAGGGAACUUGAAUCUCAGUCAACAGAUGUCUUUGUUUAUGGGAAGAAGUCAAGAACUGGGGAAGUAAUAUGACUUUGUUAUAAUUUUGUUGUCUUUUAUAAAACAUUUGUGUAUUAAAUAAUGCAUUACAAAUUGUAUUAUUAUUACCUACCAUGAAUCAAUCAAAAAAUCAUCAAUAACAUAA